GGAUCAUUACCGAGUUUACAACUCCCAAACCCUUAUGUGAACCGUACCUAUCGUUGCUUCGGCGGGAACGCCCCGGCGCCCUGCGCCCGGAUCCAGGCGCCCGCCGGAGACCCCAAACUCUUGUGUUUUUUUCAGUAUUCUCUGAGUGGCAAACGCAAAAAUAAAUCAAAACUUUUAACAACGGAUCUCUUGGCUCUGGCAUCGAUGAAGAACGCAGCGAAAUGCGAUAAGUAAUGUGAAUUGCAGAAUUCAGUGAAUCAUCGAAUCUUUGAACGCACAUUGCGCCCGUUAGCAUUCUAGCGGGCAUGCCUGUCCGAGCGUCAUUUCAACCCUCAGGGUCCCCGUUCCGGCGGGGAACCUGGUGUUGGGGAUCGGCCCGCCCCGUGCGGCGCCGUCCCCCAAAUUCAGUGGCGGUCUCGCUGCAGCCUCCCCUGCGUAGUAGUUACAACCUCGCAUCGGAGCUCAGCGCGGCCACGCCGUAAAACCCCCGACUUUCUGAACGUUGACCUCGGAUCAGGUAGGAAUACCCGCUGAACUUAAGCAUAUCAAUAAGCGGAGGAAAAGAAACCAACAGGGAUUGCCCC
This 584-nucleotide ribosomal RNA is filed under the name Stachybotrys chartarum. Its description in RNAcentral is "eukaryotic LSU rRNA". The stretch from base 170 to 323 matches the Rfam family "5.8S ribosomal RNA". The record is from RNAcentral. Lineage: Eukaryota; Fungi; Ascomycota; Sordariomycetes; Hypocreales; Stachybotryaceae.